GCUUGUCAGGAGGCAGUGCAGUAAUGACUGUGCCUCUGCAGAUGGGACCCAGGAGCACAAGGUUGUCAGAAGACUUCCUCUCCAACAAGAAGGAGAGAAAAUUAAAAGAAAGAACUAAGAAAGAGCAAAGAAAAAGGAGAAAUGGCUUAAGAAAGUGUCAUUCACACGUGCAGCCCAUAGAUGUUACAAAACCCAGUUUUCUCACUGGAUUAGUUUCCACUAUGGCUACAAACAGCAUCUUCUACAACAGGGACCAGAACUCUCUUGGAACCAGGAGCCAGCACUUGGAAUCCUGACUUUGCCAGAUUGUGGCUUCUUUUCCAUUUCUUGCCUCCUUAUACAAAAAUAGUAAAUAUAUAAUGCAUAACAUCACGGAAAACAAGGAGCUCUUUCUAUUCCCUU
Neopelma chrysocephalum (saffron-crested tyrant-manakin) is the source of this 402-nucleotide long non-coding RNA. RefSeq lists it as uncharacterized. The record is from RefSeq and is a predicted model, not a curated record. The transcript is spliced from 3 exons. Lineage: Eukaryota; Metazoa; Chordata; Aves; Passeriformes; Pipridae.